CGUAGGGGGCUAGCGUUGUCCGGAAUCAUUGGGCGUAAAGAGCGUGUAGGCGGCCCGGUAAGUCCGCUGUGAAAGUCGGGGGCUCAACCCUCGAAUGCCGGUGGAUACUGUCGGGCUAGAGUGCGGAAGAGGCGAGUGGAAUUCCUGGUGUAGCGGUGAAAUGCGCAGAUAUCAGGAGGAACACCGAUUGCGAAGGCAACUCGCUGGGACGUAACUGACGCUGAGACGCGAAAGCGUGGGGAGCAAACAGGAUUAGAUACCCUGGUAGUCCACGCUGUAAACGAUGGGCACUAGGUGUGGGGGGUGUCGACUCCCUCCGUGCCGAAGCUAACGCAUUAAGUGCCCCGCCUGGGGAGUACGGCCGCAAGGCUA
RNAcentral lists this ribosomal RNA (372 nucleotides) under uncultured organism. RNAcentral's name for it is "bacterial SSU rRNA". It matches the Rfam family "Bacterial small subunit ribosomal RNA", at positions 526 to 896 of the family's 1533-position model. The record is from RNAcentral.